Molecule: long non-coding RNA, 254 nt
Filed under: Homo sapiens (human)
Lineage: Eukaryota; Metazoa; Chordata; Mammalia; Primates; Hominidae
Description: HSALNT0148148
Source: RNAcentral
CCAGUUCCAUUCGAGUGUUCUGUGGCCCUCCAGAGACAGGCAUCCUGCAAGGCCAGAUUUCAAGACCAAAUUUGCUUGAGUCUGAGAAUGACACACGUGAAGUAACUACACAACAAUGAGCAGGCUUAAGAAAAUAUCAACUUUGGUAGAUGCUAAAUACUGCUUAGGACGAAGUAAGACAUCUUUGACAAGGUCAUUUUGGAAAAGUGGGCAGAUGCAAGAUAAAUAUACAAAAAGCACCAACUUCUCUCCGU